Molecule: unclassified non-coding RNA, 246 nt
Filed under: fungal sp.
Lineage: Eukaryota; Fungi
Description: partial internal transcribed spacer region
Rfam family: Eukaryotic small subunit ribosomal RNA (bases 1-46)
Source: RNAcentral
AAGUCGUAACAAGGUAACCGUAGGUGAACCUGCGGUUGGAUCAUUAUUAAAUGUCAGCUUUAGAGCUUUCAAAACCGCUUGGGUGACUAGAAAUAGUUAUCCCAAGUCAACCUUGUGUGAACCGUUGAUUGUAUUUGGCAAUUCCAAUUUAUUGGGUUGCCACCUUUAUUAAACACCUUUUAUAACCCGUCUUAAUCAAAUAAUAUAAAUUUGAAACAACUUUUGACAACGGAUCUCUUGGCUCUC